AGGGGUGUAGCUCAUAUGAUAGAGCGCUUGCUUUGCGAGAGGCACAGGGUUCAAUUCCUUGCACCUCCA
Molecule: non-coding RNA, 69 nt
Organism: Gossypium raimondii (Peruvian cotton)
Lineage: Eukaryota; Viridiplantae; Streptophyta; Magnoliopsida; Malvales; Malvaceae
Source: Rfam